UCUCCAUCAAUUGCUCUCUUUCUAGACGAUCCGUCUCCCUCUCGUUAAUUUUUUUAACUUCUCAGGUUCAGAAUACACAAUUUCAGUUCACACAAAUUGGAUCCAAGCAAUCCAUGGAAACAAAAGAUAGAAGAUAGAAAUCAGAUUAGGUGUUCUGUUUUGUUUAAAUGAAUGGUGAGCGUGGGGAGGAGGAAGAUCCUUGAAGAGUCUUGAAAAUUUCUCAGAUGAUUCGAGGAGAUAUUUUUUGUGGUUAAUGUCAUUAGACCCAGGUGGUUUCUAGGAGAUCUGUUAGAGGCUUAUAGAAGGAAAGGUUAUAGAAGUAAUUUUCUUUCCUUGAUUGAAUACGAGAAUUUUGAAGAAGCACAGGCUGCAAUAUCUGAAAUGAAUGGUGCUGAGCUCCUUACCCAGACCAUCUUUCAGCAAUGGACCUUCCAAAAGAAGAAGCAGAGGAGGAGAUACAACAUUAUUCUCGCCCUUCUCCUUAAGCAGACGGUCCUCCAAGUUCAAAUCCCUCGGCAUGAUUUGGAAGGUUAUCCAUUUUGUUGUUUCUUUCAGGUCACUCACCUUUAUUCAAGGAGUCCUAGGAGGUGAUACUGAUGUUACCUGUUUUUGGAAGUGCGUUUUCAUCUUGGGAUAUUAGUCCAAAUGAUAUUUGUUGAUGCGGAUGGUUGAUUCAUGCUUGAGAGGUUUCUCUUUCUUUUUCCCUCAACUGUUUUGUUGAUCUGAUUUCGUUUCCUCUAUGCCAUAACCAUUUUCUGUUCUUCCCUGGAUUGUGUGGCAUUCACCCAAAAAAGAAAAGUAUGGUACUAGUUUUUGUAAAAAACUAUGAUCGGUAUUAUGUUGAGUUACUUUGGACAA
Molecule: long non-coding RNA, 858 nt
Organism: Macadamia integrifolia
Lineage: Eukaryota; Viridiplantae; Streptophyta; Magnoliopsida; Proteales; Proteaceae
Exons: 5
Source: RefSeq, a predicted model, not a curated record